UCUUGACCUCGGAUCAGGUAGGGAUACCCGCUGAACU
RNAcentral lists this ribosomal RNA (37 nucleotides) under uncultured fungus. Its description in RNAcentral is "partial 28S ribosomal RNA". Lineage: Eukaryota; Fungi. The record is from RNAcentral.